This is a long non-coding RNA of Rosa rugosa (rugosa rose), 548 nucleotides long. RefSeq lists it as uncharacterized. Lineage: Eukaryota; Viridiplantae; Streptophyta; Magnoliopsida; Rosales; Rosaceae. The record is from RefSeq and is a predicted model, not a curated record. The transcript has 4 exons.
UUAACUUCUGAGGCCCCAAGUAUUCGACUAGCACCCAACUACCCUUUCCUCUCCUCCUCCGCCUCCGACCAGAACCCUCAUCCUCUUCAUUCUCCGCCUCCGACCAGAACUCGAUCCUCCUCCUCCUCCUUCUCCGCCUCGGACUAGCUCCUCUGCUCGAAGAUGGUGAACGGAAUCGGAGUUCGAGGGAUUUGUGAGCUUUUGUGUCAUAGGGUUUUCGAGAAACAAGCAUUCUUCAUUCAUUGAGCUUUCUGGGCAAGUUCGAGCUUGCUGGGUUUGUGACCAUGUAAUUGCCAUUCAUGUUCUGAGCUUUCUAGGCAUUCUCCAUCUUUGAGGAGACUUCAUGCUUGUUCUCGCGGUGGUCAAGACAUUCGAUUCUGUGUUCUCUGCCGAUGAAGGUUUCUGUAGCUUGAAGCAGGCUUCCUUCUGAGUUAAUGGCGUUAAUGGUGAGUCACUGUGACUAAAUUCUUUGUUUUCUGUUUGGGUCCUGUGAAUUUUGGGUCUUCAAUUUUAAGGGUUUUUGGUAAUUGAUCGAAAAUUGAAUUAUA